Molecule: long non-coding RNA, 1691 nt
Organism: Oncorhynchus gorbuscha (pink salmon)
Lineage: Eukaryota; Metazoa; Chordata; Actinopteri; Salmoniformes; Salmonidae
Exons: 3
Source: RefSeq, a predicted model, not a curated record
GUCUCCUUCCUCUGUAUAUAAUAAGUGUUUUUGGAAAACUGGUUCACAUAUCCUGAAGUCAAUAGCGAAUAUGGCUAUGAAUAUAUUUCAUUUGCCGUUAAUGUAUUGAAGACCUAUUUCAGCAAGUUAACCAAGUUUUUGCUGGCUUAGCUAGCCAUGUUAACGAUGAGCUAACUUAACUAGCACUGUUGGUCACUGCACUACAAUGUCACGCUAGCUAUUGCCAGCAGGUGAUUUGCUAGCAGGUGACUUAAUGAAAUAUUAAGUGCAUGUUUAUUUUCUUACUACCUUUUAAAAGGUUUAUAUAAAAGGGUUGUACUUGUGCUCUGUAUUUAUGGAUUAAUAUCACUUCACAUUGAGGGUAUGUAUCACUACUGUUGCUCCUAUCUAAAAGAUAUCUUGUGGGCUACCUAACCAGUGAACGUUUGUGGCUGUGACCGUCCUGUCAAUGCCUGUCAUCACUGUUUGACAUCUUUUACUGCAGCAUCUGCUCUCCAACAGCACAGGGGCCUGUAGCACAGUCAGGUCAAACAGGAAGGGGAUGCCGGCAUUCGGAUGCAGGAAGAUAAAGAGAGGGGAGGUGGAGUUCAAGGAGAACGGUCAACAGCUGGCAGUAAAGUGGCAUGACAAACGAGACGUCCAUGUCCUCUCCACUGUCCAUACAGCAGCCAUGUGGACCAACUGACGGGAGAGAGAAAAAUCAAACCAGACUAACUAACAGAUAAAGUAACCUACCAAAAGUACAGAGAGAAGCUUAUGAGGGAGCUGCUGGAGGAGCACCACACCCAUCAGCGCCCAUCCACUGGGGGUCGUUCUGCUGCGGACAAUCCCCUAAGCCUCACUGCAUGGCAUUUUCCCUGCAAAGUCCCUCAAACUGCUGCUCAAGGUAGUCGCACACAGAGGCACUGCAAAGUUUGCCUGUCUGGCACCAGGAGAAGAAAGCAGAGGAAGUUGUCAAUAUACAUGCAUUUAGCUUGUGAUAUACCUCUAUGUAUUUCACCAUGCUUUGGGGAGUAUCAUAUGCUCAAGCAAUAUUGAGCACAUCUGCAGCAAUUAGUGACUGACUGAUGGACCUGACAGGUGACUUUCCUUCCAUGAUACUAGUUGUUGUUCAAUCACUGCAUGAAUAUUAAAUACGGGUUAUGGAUAUUCCGUUUUUUUUCCUCUAGUAAAACGUGUUCAACCAACCACCACCAUUACUUACAUAUUGGCCUUUGUUUUCUUGCUGUGUUUUCAUCCAGUAAAACUGUUAAGGAGUGUACGGUAGCAUACAAAAGCUGGCCUCAAUCUGCAGCUGUCCAGUUCUAGUUAUGAUAUUAGCAAAUACUGUUUGUGGUUUCUGAAAGUACAGAAUAGAGGUAUUCUAAUGAAUAAUAAUUCAAUAAAGGAUAUAGCAAUAAAACAAUAUUACAAAGAAGUAGCAUAAUAAACACUGCUAAAAAAAAUGGUAUUGCAUUGACAAAAUCACAAAUUUGAGUUAUAACAGUAACUUUUGAGCUCCACAAGGGAGCAAGGCAGGGCAGAACAGAGCUAUGCUAAUAGGCCAACUGAAAACAAACCAUGGUUAUAUUUUUUAUUUUAUUUAACCAGGCAAGUCAUUUAACAAUAAAUUAUUAUUUACAAUGACAGCCUACACCAGCCAAACUAUGAAGAUGCAAGGCCAAUUGUGCGCCGCCCUAUGGGACUCCCAA